RNAcentral lists this ribosomal RNA (1446 nucleotides) under uncultured organism. Its description in RNAcentral is "SSU rRNA". It matches the Rfam family "Bacterial small subunit ribosomal RNA". The record is from RNAcentral.
UGAACGCUAGCUACAGGCUUAACACAUGCAAGUCGAGGGGCAUCAGGAAGAAAGCUUGCUUUCUUUGCUGGCGACCGGCGCACGGGUGAGUAACACGUAUCCAACCUGCCCUUUACUCGGGGAUAGCCUUUCGAAAGAAAGAUUAAUACCCGAUAGCAUAAUGAUUCCGCAUGGUUUCAUUAUUAAAGGAUUCCGGUAAAGGAUGGGGAUGCGUUCCAUUAGGUUGUUGGUGAGGUAACGGCCCACCAAGCCUUCGAUGGAUAGGGGUUCUGAGAGGAAGGUCCCCCACAUUGGAACUGAGACACGGUCCAAACUCCUACGGGAGGCAGCAGUGAGGAAUAUUGGUCAAUGGGCGCUAGCCUGAACCAGCCAAGUAGCGUGAAGGAUGAAGGCUCUAUGGGUCGUAAACUUCUUUUAUAUAAGAAUAAAGUGCAGUAUGUAUACUGUUUUGUAUGUAUUAUAUGAAUAAGGAUCGGCUAACUCCGUGCCAGCAGCCGCGGUAAUACGGAGGAUCCGAGCGUUAUCCGGAUUUAUUGGGUUUAAAGGGAGCGUAGGUGGACUGGUAAGUCAGUUGUGAAAGUUUGCGGCUCAACCGUAAAAUUGCAGUUGAUACUGUCAGUCUUGAGUACAGUAGAGGUGGGCGGAAUUCGUGGUGUAGCGGUGAAAUGCUUAGAUAUCACGAAGAACUCCGAUUGCGAAGGCAGCUCACUGGACUGCAACUGACACUGAUGCUCGAAAGUGUGGGUAUCAAACAGGAUUAGAUACCCUGGUAGUCCACACAGUAAACGAUGAAUACUCGCUGUUUGCGAUAUACAGUAAGCGGCCAAGCGAAAGCAUUAAGUAUUCCACCUGGGGAGUACGCCGGCAACGGUGAAACUCAAAGGAAUUGACGGGGGCCCGCACAAGCGAAGGAACAUGUGGUUUAAUUCGAUGAUACGCGAGGAACCUUACCCGGGCUUAAAUUGCAGUGGAAUGAUGUGGAAACAUGUCAGUGAGCAAUCACCGCUGUGAAGGUGCUGCAUGGUUGUCGUCAGCUCGUGCCGUGAGGUGUCGGCUUAAGUGCCAUAACGAGCGCAACCCUUAUCUUUAGUUACUAACAGGUUAUGCUGAGGACUCUGGAGAGACUGCCGUCGUAAGAUGUGAGGAAGGUGGGGAUGACGUCAAAUCAGCACGGCCCUUACGUCCGGGGCUACACACGUGUUACAAUGGGGGGUACAGAAGGCAGCUAGCGGGUGACCGUAUGCUAAUCCCAAAAGCCUCUCUCAGUUCGGAUCGAAGUCUGCAACCCGACUUCGUGAAGCUGGAUUCGCUAGUAAUCGCGCAUCAGCCACGGCGCGGUGAAUACGUUCCCGGGCCUUGUACACACCGCCCGUCAAGCCAUGGGAGCCGGGGGUACCUGAAGUACGUAACCGCAAGGAUCGUCCUAGGGUAAAACUGGUGAAUGGG